AAGGUCUCAAUUUAAAGGAAAGGUUUGUCCCUUGUAUGAUGUAAAUUGAUAUUGUUUUAUGGUGAAACCACCUAUCUUUUCAUAUUUGUGCAAAUCAAAAUUCAAUGGAUAUCAAAUCAACAAAGAGUAUACAAAGACGAGGAGGCAUACACAAAGGUAUGUCAAUUGGUAUGUUAUGCAGAUCACAUGUAUCAUCCUCCUCCCUUACCUCUUCAAUGAAUAUCCCAUAGGCCUCUACAUUAUGGACAAGGAAACCUGUUCGAUCACCAUGCACUGAAAAAUCAUUCUGGAUAUGGAUACAGAAAACAUCAACACAUUAACAUCAACACGCCAGAGGAUAUACCCAUUGAACUUGGGGCUCUGCUGGGAGUUUACCUCAUCUUUAGAUUGUUUUUAUUCUGCUUUGCCACUAAAAUAACAAUAAACA
Long non-coding RNA from Oncorhynchus kisutch (coho salmon), 427 nucleotides. RefSeq lists it as uncharacterized. NCBI's taxonomy places the organism in Eukaryota, Metazoa, Chordata, Actinopteri, Salmoniformes, Salmonidae. The transcript has 3 exons. The record is from RefSeq and is a predicted model, not a curated record.